Molecule: ribosomal RNA, 955 nt
Filed under: Perezitrema bychowskyi
Lineage: Eukaryota; Metazoa; Platyhelminthes; Trematoda; Plagiorchiida; Macroderoididae
Description: eukaryotic LSU rRNA
Rfam family: Eukaryotic large subunit ribosomal RNA
Source: RNAcentral
UGAGGGAAAGUUGCAAAGUACUUUGAAGAGAGAGUAAACAGUGCGUGAAACCGCUCAGAGGUAAACGGGUGGAGUUGAACUGCAAGCUUUGAGAAUUCAGCUGAUGAGUGUGGUUUGAGCUUGGUCAAAUUGGUGAACUCCGGGGUCUGCGUAGUAGCAGGUCUUUGCCUUCGGGUGAGGAUGCGCGAUACACUUGUCAAGUGUUGUGCGCUUCGGUUGUUCUUCGGCCUGCUCGUCAGUGCACUUUCUCUUAGUGGUCACCACGACCGGCACCGCUGUCUGGCUUCUUCGGUUAAACCGGUUUUGCUUAGUCAUAAGGCUUUGCUUGAUCGGGAGGGCAGGUAGCUCGUUGACUUGCUUGUGGUUCGCUGCAAGCGUUCGGUUUUCGAGUGUUAUUAGCUGACCGGAGUAGUACUGUGCAGUGUGUCGGAGACGGCGGCUUGUAGUGCGUGCAUGCGUGCCUGUUCUGCUGACUUGUCCGAGUUUGGUUAUUAUGUUGCCUGUUCAAGCAGGCCUGGUGAUGGCUCGGAUUCGUUCGGUGGGCGGUUGCGUGUGUUGCACCUUUCAGGGCCAACAGUCUGUGGUGUAGUGGUAGACUUUCCACCCGACCCGUCUUGAAACACGGACCAAGGAGAGUAACAUGUACGCGAGUCAUUGGGCGUUACGAAACCCACAGGCGCAGUGAAAGUAAAGGUCUGACUUGUUCAGGCUGAGGUGAGAUCCUGUCGUUUCUCACGCGCGGUACUACCAAGCAUCGAGCGGCAGGCGCAUCACCGGCCCGUCCCAUGGCAGUUGUCUUCGGACAGUUUUCGGUCGGGGCGGAGCAUGAGCGUACAUGUUGAGACCCGAAAGAUGGUGAACUAUGCUUGCGCAGGUUGAAGCCAGAGGAAACUCUGGUGGAGGACCGCAGCGAUUCUGACGUGCAAAUCGAUCGUCAAACGUGAGUAUAGGGGCG